GUUAGGAAUAUUGGACAAUGGGCGCAAGCCUGAUCCAGCCAUGCCGCGUGAGUGAUGAAGGCCUUCGGGUUGUAAAGCUCUUUAGUCCACGAAUAUAAUGACUGUAGUCGGAAAAUAAGCCCCGGCUAACUUCGUGCCAGCAGCCGCGGUAAUACGAAGGGGGCGAGCGUUAUUCGGAAUCACUGGGCGUAAAGCGUGCGUAGGCGGUUUUGUAAGUUAGGAGUGAAAGCCCAGGGCUCAACCCUGGAAUUGCUCUUAAAACUUCAAGGCUAGAAUGUCGGAGAGGAUAGCGGAAUUUCCAGGGUAGCAGUGAAAUGCGUAGAUAUUGGAAGGAACACCAGUGGCGUAAGCGGCUAUCUGGACGACUAUUGACGCUGAGGCACGAAAGCGUGGGGAUCAAACAGGAUUAGAUACCCUUGUAGUCC
RNAcentral lists this ribosomal RNA (425 nucleotides) under uncultured bacterium. RNAcentral's name for it is "partial 16S ribosomal RNA". It matches the Rfam family "Bacterial small subunit ribosomal RNA", at positions 354 to 796 of the family's 1533-position model. The record is from RNAcentral.